GAUGAACGCUGGCGGCGUGCCUAACACAUGCAAGUCGAACGGAGCUGCUUUGAUGAAGUUUUCGGAUGGAUUUAAAACAGCUUAGUGGCGGACGGGUGAGUAACGCGUGGGUAACCUGCCUCACACUGGGGGAUAACAGUUAGAAAUAGCUGCUAAUACCGCAUAAGCGCACGGUUCCGCAUGGAACAGUGUGAAAAACUCCGGUGGUGUGAGAUGGACCCGCGUCUGAUUAGCCAGUUGGCGGGGUAACGGCCCACCAAGGCGACGAUCGGUAGCCGGACUGAGAGGUUGAACGGCCACAUUGGGACUGAGACAGGCCCAGACUCCUACGGGAGCAGCAGUGGGGAAUAUUGCACAAUGGGGGAAACCCUGAUGCAGCGACGCCGCGUGGAGGAAGAAGGUCUU
Molecule: ribosomal RNA, 405 nt
Filed under: uncultured bacterium
Lineage: Bacteria
Description: bacterial SSU rRNA
Rfam family: Bacterial small subunit ribosomal RNA
Source: RNAcentral